UACAGGGGGUGCAAACGUUGCUCGGAAUCAUUGGGCGUAAAGCGCACGUAGGCGGUUCGUUAUGUCGGAUGUGAAAGCCCUUGGCUUAACCGAGGAAGUGCAUCCGAAACUGGCGAGCUAGAUUACUAAAGAGGAUCGCGGAAUUCCCGGUGUAGAGGUGAAAUUCGUAGAUAUCGGGAGGAACACCGGUGGCGAAGGCGGCGAUCUGGGUAGAUACUGACGCCGAGGUGCGAAAGCGUGGGGAGCAAACAGG
Molecule: ribosomal RNA, 253 nt
Filed under: uncultured bacterium
Lineage: Bacteria
Description: partial 16S ribosomal RNA
Rfam family: Bacterial small subunit ribosomal RNA
Source: RNAcentral